Molecule: ribosomal RNA, 492 nt
Filed under: uncultured bacterium
Lineage: Bacteria
Description: partial 16S ribosomal RNA
Rfam family: Bacterial small subunit ribosomal RNA
Source: RNAcentral
AGUGAACGCUGGCGGUAGGCCUAACACAUGCAAGUCGAACGGCAGCACAGUAAGAGCUUGCUCUUACGGGUGGCGAGUGGCGGACGGGUGAGGAAUACAUCGGAAUCUACUUUUUCGUGGGGGAUAACGUAGGGAAACUUACGCUAGUACCGCAUACGACCUACGGGUGAAAGCAGGGGAUCUUCGGACCUUGCGCGAUUGAAUGAGCCGAUGUCGGAUUAGCUAGUUGGCGGGGUAAAGGCCCACCAAGGCGACGAUCCGUAGCUGGUCUGAGAGGAUGAUCAGCCACACUGGAACUGAGACACGGUCCAGACUCCUACGGGAGGCAGCAGUGGGGAAUAUUGGACAAUGGGCGCAAGCCUGAUCCAGCCAUACCGCGUGGGUGAAGAAGGCCUCCGGGUUGUAAAGCCCUUUUGUUGGGAAAGAAAAGCAGCAGGUUAAUACCCCGCUGUUCUGACGGUACCCAAAGAAUAAGCACCGGCUAACUUCGUG